RNAcentral lists this long non-coding RNA (1430 nucleotides) under Nicotiana tabacum (common tobacco). RNAcentral describes it as "long non-coding RNA (NTAB_LNC014405)". Lineage: Eukaryota; Viridiplantae; Streptophyta; Magnoliopsida; Solanales; Solanaceae. The record is from RNAcentral.
AAAUUUUUCUUAACUCCUUUUGAAACUAGUGGUCCAAAUAAGCAUAGACAUGUGUGUAGUUAUAAAUAAUCUCAUUAAAAAUAAAAUAAAAAAUUCUAAGUUAAAUUAUUUCUAAGUAUAGAGAUGUAUUAUUCUCUUGAACAAACUAAAAAAAGUAUGACAUAUUUUGGGACAGAGGGAGCGUUAAAGUGCAAAAAGAAGAAAAGCAACAUGAAUAUACAUGAGCUGGUUGGGUAUGUCUAACUAUGCACCUUGACUAUAUACUAAUAGGAGUCAACAAACCUCAACCAAGUCCCAAUAAAACAGAAUAAAUUUUUGGAACCUUGUGAUUAAUAAUUUGUGGCAGCAAAUCCCUUUUGGUUUCAAGGUAAAACAAACAAGGUAAUAAGUCAAAGUAGACUAGCAGAAUACAAGGUAAAAUACUACCCAACAACUAAGUUGAAACUUGAAACAACAUUAAUGAAUGUGUGUAUAUUUCAAAUGAGCAAAUCAAAUCAGAACUAUGAAUUCUAGACUCAAAAAUCAGUGUUUUCCUUUAAAUUGGGGUUGUCAGAAAUGUCUGUGGUGAUGAUGUUGAUGUCUGUGUUCAUCCAAUCCAAAGCACUGCAAAACAGGGAAACAUACUACAAAGAGGCACCUCUUUAACACAGAGAAAGUAGAAGAAACUACAAAACAAGGACAACAACAACAUGCCAAGAAUGGAUCAUCAUAUGGUCUAUUUCCUUCAUUAUGAUGAUGAUGAUGACGACCCAUCUUCUUCUUUGACCUGAUCAAUACACAAAAUCAAUGAUUACCCAUUACUCAAUUGGCAAAACAAAAACUACCCCUUAACUAAAAGUUUGUUAUAAAAAAAUAGCCUGGUGCACUAAGCUCCCGCUAUGCGCGGGGUUCGGGAAGGGUCGAUCUAUUGUACGCAGUUCUACCCGGCAUUUUUGCAAGAGACUGUUUCCACGGCUCGAACCCGUAACCUUCUGGUCACAUGGCAGCAACUUUACCAGCUACGCCGAGGCUCCCUUUGUAAAAGUUUAUUAUAAUUGAGCAAAACGAUCACAUCUUUGAUGUAAAAUAUAAUUAAUUCAGAUAUAUUACCUUGAGAUAUGAACCUUCUUCUAAGUCUUGGGAGAUCUUAAGCUAAAAGAAUAAUGCAAGAGUAAUUGUAAAAGGAGGGAAGCAGAGGAGAUUGGUUGGAAGGAGAAUAGCUGUAUCAAACCAGCAAAAUUGGGAGGAAUAAGACUGUUUGUAGUUGAACUGAAAAAGAGUUAUAAAGCGUGUGAAUUUCGUGUUGGGUUGUCACAAUUAUAAUCACGCAAGUAGAUAGCACUCCUACUAAUAUAAAAUCUCAGCAACUUGGGUAUCCAGGCUUUUUCUACCGUUAGUAUUCUACAAGUCUAAUCCAAUUGGACCAAAAAUCAGACGUGGCAUUAAGUUGG